RNAcentral lists this ribosomal RNA (526 nucleotides) under uncultured Hanseniaspora. RNAcentral's name for it is "eukaryotic LSU rRNA". It matches the Rfam family "Eukaryotic large subunit ribosomal RNA", at positions 62 to 594 of the family's 3401-position model. The record is from RNAcentral. Lineage: Eukaryota; Fungi; Ascomycota; Saccharomycetes; Saccharomycodales; Saccharomycodaceae.
AAACCAACCGGGAUUGCCUCAGUAACGGCGAGUGAAGCGGCAAAAAGCUCAAAUUUGAAAUCUGGCACUUUCAGUGUCCGAGUUGUAAUUUGUAGAAGUAGUUUUGGGACUGGUCCUUAUCUAUGUUUCUUGGAACAGGACGUCAUAGAGGGUGAGAACCCCGUAUGAUGAGGCCCCCAGUCCUUUGUAAAACGCUUUCGAAGAGUCGAGUUGUUUGGGAAUGCAGCUCUAAGUGGGUGGUAAAUUCCAUCUAAAGCUAAAUAUUGGCGAGAGACCGAUAGCGAACAAGUACAGUGAUGGAAAGAUGAAAAGAACUUUGAAAAGAGAGUGAAAAAGUACGUGAAAUUGUUGAAAGGGAAGGGCAUUUGAUCAGACAUGGUGUUUUGCGCCCUUUGCUCCUUGUGGGCGAGGAUACGCAGCUCACUGGGCCAACAUCAGUUUUGGGAGCAGGAUAAAUCUGUAGGAACGUGACGUUCUUCGGUAAGUGUUAUUAGCUCGGUAAGUACUGCUACUCGGCGUCAGGACG